CGCGGCCUAUCAGCUUGUUGGUGAGGUAACGGCUCACCAAGGCAUCGACGGGUAGCUGGUCUGAGAGGACGAUCAGCCACACUGGGACUGAGACACGGCCCAGACUCCUACGGGAGGCAGCAGUGGGGAAUCUUGCACAAUGGGCGAAAGCCUGAUGCAGCGACGCCGCGUGGGGGAUGAAGGCCCUAGGGUCGUAAACCCCUUUCAGUAGGGACGAAAAUGACGGUACCUACAGAAGAAGCUCCGGCCAACUACGUGCCAGCAGCCGCGGUAAGACGUAGGGGGCGAGCGUUGUCCGGAAUCAUUGGGUGUAAAGAGCUCGUAGGCGGUUCCGUAAGUCGGAUGUGAAAACUCAGGGCUCAACUCUGAGACGCCAUCCGAUACUGCGGUGACUUGAAUCCAGUAGGGGAGUGUGGAAUUCCUGGUGUAGCGGUGAAAUGCGCAGAUAUCAGGAGGAACACCUAUGGCGAAGGCAGCACUCUGGGCUGGUAUUGACGCUGAGGAGCGAAAGCGUGGGUAGCAAACAGGAUUAGAUACCCUGGUAGUCCACGCCGUAAACGGUGGGCACUAGGUGUGGGGACUUUCAACGGUUUCCGUGCCGAAGCUAACGCAUUAAGUGCCCCGCCUGGGGAGUACGG
RNAcentral lists this ribosomal RNA (638 nucleotides) under uncultured Actinomycetes bacterium. RNAcentral's name for it is "bacterial SSU rRNA". It matches the Rfam family "Bacterial small subunit ribosomal RNA", at positions 232 to 885 of the family's 1533-position model. The record is from RNAcentral. Lineage: Bacteria; Bacillati; Actinomycetota; Actinomycetes.